CAGGUGUAUUACAGAAAUUUAAAUGGGAAAAUUGUAUGACAAUAGACAGAAGGUCUUGGGGAUAUCGCAGAAAUUCCAACAUCGAAGACUAUCUGAGUGUUCAUGAUAUCAUUUCAACUUUUGCGUCUACAAUCAGGCAAGUAAAAUAUCACCAUGGUAAGACUGUUACUACUUAUCUGGACUCCGAUUACCAUUUACUAUUUCUUAUCUGUUUCAAAAUGAAGUAUAUGGACCAGAAACUUUAUAACAAAAGUAACCAAAUAAACAUAAGGCGCACGUGUUCAUAUGUAGACAUAGUCGAUGGUCAAUUAUAGUAUUACUGCUUAUAUAGUACAAGAUCUUUCAUCACAUUUUAAGGGUUUUUUUUUUUAACAUCUGACCUUCAAAUAAUAAACAAUUAAAAACGACGACAGUCAUAGAGAAUGUUUGUGGUUGUUGAAAAUCACACAAACAUGUUUAAGGGUAUAUAUAAAUUGCAGGUUCUCAUCUUUUUUCAAUUUAUUAUCUGCUUUUUUGAAUAUUACUUCCAGAAGAAGUCCUCGUAAUUGUGAUAAUUGAAUUAAGUAUACGUUUUAACAAAUUUAUGAUUGCAUAUACUUAAUGCAAUAGUUUUCAGCCAUUCUUUUCCGCUGAUAACUAUUAGAACUUUUGAUGAAUGUUGAACUAAAGCGAGUGACUUUUCCUAUCCAUUUAUUUGAUUUGAGUGUCUUGAUGGUCAUGGGGCACUUAUUUUAUUUGUUUAUAUGUCUUACUUUAAUUUGUAAUGCUUGUUUGGCUGAAGCGUUUUUUUUUACAAGUGUGGUUAGGGAAUUCAAUGAGAAAUUUAAACACCAAAGAUAGGAACAAACGAACAUCAUCAUUACCAUCAUGGAUAUGAUGGAGCCUUAGUUAGUGAAAUUGCAAUUGUUUUAUGAAAAAGUCUGUCAUGUUACUGCCUUCGACUGUUGUUAUCUGCACUUUUUAUCUCGUUAAAUGAGACGUUUUGUAAUGAUCUUUAGGAAGUAAUUUUUCAAUUUUAUAAAAUGACUAAAUCUUCCUUUUGUGGCAGUUGCGGUGGUAACAUGCUGAUGAAUGUAGGGCCAACAAAAGAAGGGAAAAUCAUGCCAAUAUUUGAAGAAAGACUACGUCAGUUUGGCCAAUGGUUGAAGGUCAAUGGAGAGGGAGUUUAUAGCACGGUCCAUGGAGUCACCAGAAAGAUACAGUAACCAAAAAUAUAUGGUAUAAGUAUUAUUAAAUUGUACUACAUAACAGAGAACAAGAAAUACAAAAGACAAAUUAACGACUUGAAUAUUCAUUCGAAUACAUUGAUAAAUUUUAGCAAGACAAAAAGAAGUAACAGAACCGUAAAAGGGGAAAGGUAGAGGAUCGAUAUAUAUAACGGGAGCAGUUGUCAUUCCGAAUUCCUGAAAGAAAAAUAAAGAAUAGCUGAAUCCAGAAUUCCCGGGAAAAAAUCAUUCUUUUCGGAUCCUCAAGAAAAAAAACAUCAUUUAUUUCCGAGACCCGAUAAGUGUAAACCGCGAAUUCCCUAAAAAUCAAAAGCCCAAUCCCGACGUCGCAAUCAAAAUUCCUCCACGCCUGUUGUGGUAUAGAUGUCUUCUAUUAAAAAUGUCUAUUUUUUAAAUUUCAAGAUAAAGUUGAAUAUAUUUUUUACUGGUUUAUUCCUUUCCUGCUGGCAACCAAAUGAUUGUUGAAUUAAAAUUUUGAAUAAUGGCAAAAAAAAAACAAUUGCAUGAGCAUCGUAAAAUACUAAGACAUAAAUGAGUAAAUCUUUUGGCUCUCUGCAUGAAUGAUACACUUGAUUUAUGAUUGAAUGAAUCUCUUAGAUAUGUUGUUUUUACAGGUAUACUAAACGGGAAAUGGAGAGUGAGGGAACUGUAGUUUAUGUAUUUCUUCUUUCUUGGCCUACAGACGAAGUUUUGAAAUUAGGAGCACCGAUCCCUUCACAACAGACAGAGGUCAGCAUGCUCGGUUACCCAGACAAAUUUAUCUGGAAAGCUGGCACAGGAGGCCAAGGAAUUAAUGUCACUAUACCAAUUAUACCGUGGAACAAACUACCAUGCGAAUGGGCAUGGCUUCUUAAGCUAAGUCACAUAACAAAUUAGACUAUAAGGUGUGAUUGAUGCUUGGUUAGGAUAUGUGUAAUCAUGUAAAGAAUACGUGUGCCAUAAACAACAAUUGUCAUAAGAGCAUAAUACAAGUCUUUAAAUCAUGACUUUGUUUACCAUAGUGCUUUCAUGAAACUCUUUUGUCACAUCAAGAUUACGAAACUUUUUCGAUUGAAAAGUCGAAUGGAUAACAUAUUUUCUUUUUAAACCAUGAUGUUUAAUAUAUUUUUAUAAUGUUUCAUUGUUGCACUUAUUUUGUGUUUUUGCCCUGCCAAUAUUUAUUCCAUUCAUUUAUUUCCGUGCACCAUGUAUACUUGAAACGAUUUGUCUGUGAUGAAUUGACGCAUUUGAAUCUCAGUUUAUAUACUUUCCUUGUGAAAUUAAUCAUUGUUAGUGCAUAAAUAUUUGUCUGUACAUUAUUGUAUAUUGUCUAAAUGUAUUAGUUACUAAAUAAAAUAAAAGAGGGUGUCUCCAUAUCUCGACAAUACUGUUUUUAAGGUUGUUUUGAUUAUUAACAUUUCUAAUAUUGACAUUAAUAUUUCUUUUAUUUCUAGCAAUGUGCAAUUUACUAUCCAUAUCUGUAUAAUGAAUAAUUAUCAAUUUGCAGUUUUCUAUCCAUAUCCGUAUACUGAAUAGAAUUUGUCCGGCGGCGUUAUCCAUGGUUAAUUAUAAGAACUCGGUUUGACUUAGCAGAUUAAAAUUUUGUUUAUAAUUAUUGUUCAAAUCUGUUUCGUAUUUCCUGUCUAUUUGUAUAACAUUAUUAACAUUUCUAAUAUUGGCAUUACUAUUUCUUUUAUUUCUAGCAAUUUGGAGUUUACUAUCCAUAUCUGUUUAAUGAAUAAUUAUCAAUGUGCAGUUUACUAUCCAUAUCCGUAUACUGAAUAGUUUUUGU
This 2997-nucleotide long non-coding RNA is filed under the name Mytilus galloprovincialis (Mediterranean mussel). The record is from RNAcentral. Lineage: Eukaryota; Metazoa; Mollusca; Bivalvia; Mytilida; Mytilidae.